GAACUAGAGAUUGAAGCAGCCCAGGUAAUUUCCGGCAGUAGCAUGAGGCACUACCUCUUAAGUGAUUCUGUUUUUUAUUUGUUUAUAACACCAAAAUUGCUAGUAUUUACUGCUUUGCAUAAAUUCAGUCCUUUUUUUAAUACAAGAUGACAAACACCUGAAACCAAUCAAUCUAUCAUUUGCUUUAUGUCUAAGCCAAUCUGCUAGCUUCAAAUUAAUGAAUUUGACAAUGAAAAAAUUGACAGGAAAUAUAUGAUAAUUGUACACAUCAGAGCAACUAUUACUACUUUUUUAAUACAAGGUCUGCCAUUUGUUAUUUUCCUCUGGUGUUGAAUACUUGUCAUUUCUGAGUUUCCACCGGAAGAUCCUUGAGCAGUACUGAAUUGUGUUAGCCUUAUUGGUAGGGACUGCAGGUUAAUGUCAUAGAUGUGACAAUUAAGGUCUGCCAUUUGUUCUUUUCUAUGAAAUUGAUUAUUGAUUAAUUAGUACUCAAUUGCGCCAAACGGCCAACGAUGCGCUCUUCUUUGACCGGGUUGCUGUUGAUUUUACUUAUGGAACAUAGGAGAGGAUUUACAAUUUUUUCUCCCCAAAAAAUUCCCGAGUCCAGUCACCAGUGAUUGCUAACUUUAUAUUCAUGCCAUUCCAUACUAAGCGUUCCUUAUUUUGUGUCAUCUUGAAGAAUCUGGGUUUAAUAACAGAGAUUGCAAUAGCUCAUUGAGAUGUUGAUUUUUGCCAUAGUGGAUACCAUUUGAGGAAUAUG
RNAcentral lists this unclassified non-coding RNA (760 nucleotides) under Hevea brasiliensis (rubber tree). The record is from RNAcentral. Lineage: Eukaryota; Viridiplantae; Streptophyta; Magnoliopsida; Malpighiales; Euphorbiaceae.